RNAcentral lists this ribosomal RNA (604 nucleotides) under Clostridioides difficile. RNAcentral describes it as "bacterial SSU rRNA". It matches the Rfam family "Bacterial small subunit ribosomal RNA", at positions 937 to 1533 of the family's 1533-position model. The record is from RNAcentral. Lineage: Bacteria; Bacillati; Bacillota; Clostridia; Peptostreptococcales; Peptostreptococcaceae.
GCAUGUGGUUUAAUUCGAAGCAACGCGAAGAACCUUACCUAAGCUUGACAUCCCAAUGACAUCUCCUUAAUCGGAGAGUUCCCUUCGGGGACAUUGGUGACAGGUGGUGCAUGGUUGUCGUCAGCUCGUGUCGUGAGAUGUUGGGUUAAGUCCCGCAACGAGCGCAACCCUUGUCUUUAGUUGCCAUCAUUAAGUUGGGCACUCUAGAGAGACUGCCAGGGAUAACCUGGAGGAAGGUGGGGAUGACGUCAAAUCAUCAUGCCCCUUAUGCUUAGGGCUACACACGUGCUACAAUGGGUAGUACAGAGGGUUGCCAAGCCGUAAGGUGGAGCUAAUCCCUUAAAGCUACUCUCAGUUCGGAUUGUAGGCUGAAACUCGCCUACAUGAAGCUGGAGUUACUAGUAAUCGCAGAUCAGAAUGCUGCGGUGAAUGCGUUCCCGGGUCUUGUACACACCGCCCGUCACACCACGGGAGUUGGAGACGCCCGAAGCCGAUUAUCUAACCUUUUGGAAGAAGUCGGCGAAGGUGGAAUCAAUAACUGGGGUGAAGUCGUAACAAGGUAGCCGUAUCGGAAGGUGCGGCUGGAUCACCUCCUUUCUAAAGA